GGUUAAGCGACUAAGCGUACACGGUGGAUGCCCUGGCAGUCAGAGGCGAUGAAGGACGUGCUAAUCUGCGAUAAGCGUCGGUGAGGUGAUAUGAACCGUUAUAACCGGCGAUUUCCGAAUGGGGAAACCCAGUGUGUUUCGACACACUAUCAUUAACUGAAUCCAUAGGUUAAUGAGGCGAACCGGGGGAACUGAAACAUCUAAGUACCCCGAGGAAAAGAAAUCAACCGAGAUUCCCCCAGUAGCGGCGAGCGAACGGGGAGGAGCCCAGAGCCUGAAUCAGUGUGUGUGUUAGUGGAAGCGUCUGGAAAGGCGUGUGAUACAGGGUGACAGCCCCGUACACAAAAAUGCACAUAUUGUGAGCUCGAUGAGUAGGGCGGGACACGUGGUAUCCUGUCUGAAUAUGGGGGGACCAUCCUCCAAGGCUAAAUACUCCUGACUGACCGAUAGUGAACCAGUACCGUGAGGGAAAGGCGAAAAGAACCCCGGCGAGGGGAGUGAAAAAGAACCUGAAACCGUGUACGUACAAGCAGUGGGAGCCUCUUAAUGGGGUGACUGCGUACCUUUUGUAUAAUGGGUCAGCGACUUAUAUUCUGUAGCAAGGUUAACCGAAUAGGGGAGCCGAAGGGAAACCGAGUCUUAACUGGGCGUUAAGUUGCAGGGUAUAGACCCGAAACCCGGUGAUCUAGCCAUGGGCAGGUUGAAGGUUGGGUAACACUAACUGGAGGACCGAACCGACUAAUGUUGAAAAAUUAGCGGAUGACUUGUGGCUGGGGGUGAAAGGCCAAUCAAACCGGGAGAUAGCUGGUUCUCCCCGAAAGCUAUUUAGGUAGCGCCUCGUGAAUUCAUCUCCGGGGGUAGAGCACUGUUUCGGCAAGGGGGUCAUCCCGACUUACCAACCCGAUGCAAACUGCGAAUACCGGAGAAUGUUAUCACGGGAGACACACGGCGGGUGCUAACGUCCGUCGUGAAGAGGGAAACAACCCAGACCGCCAGCUAAGGUCCCAAAGUCAUGGUUAAGUGGGAAACGAUGUGGGAAGGCCCAGACAGCCAGGAUGUUGGCUUAGAAGCAGCCAUCAUUUAAAGAAAGCGUAAUAGCUCACUGGUCGAGUCGGCCUGCGCGGAAGAUGUAACGGGGCUAAACCAUGCACCGAAGCUGCGGCAGCGACGCUUAUGCGUUGUUGGGUAGGGGAGCGUUCUGUAAGCCUGUGAAGGUGUGCUGUGAGGCAUGCUGGAGGUAUCAGAAGUGCGAAUGCUGACAUAAGUAACGAUAAAGCGGGUGAAAAGCCCGCUCGCCGGAAGACCAAGGGUUCCUGUCCAACGUUAAUCGGGGCAGGGUGAGUCGACCCCUAAGGCGAGGCCGAAAGGCGUAGUCGAUGGGAAACAGGUUAAUAUUCCUGUACUUGGUGUUACUGCGAAGGGGGGACGGAGAAGGCUAUGUUGGCCGGGCGACGGUUGUCCCGGUUUAAGCGUGUAGGCUGGUUUUCCAGGCAAAUCCGGAAAACCAAGGCUGAGGCGUGAUGACGAGGCACUACGGUGCUGAAGCGACAAAUGCCCUGCUUCCAGGAAAAGCCUCUAAGCAUCAGGUAACAUCAAAUCGUACCCCAAACCGACACAGGUGGUCAGGUAGAGAAUACCAAGGCGCUUGAGAGAACUCGGGUGAAGGAACUAGGCAAAAUGGUGCCGUAACUUCGGGAGAAGGCACGCUGAUAUGUAGGUGAAGCGACUUGCUCGUGGAGCUGAAAUCAGUCGAAGAUACCAGCUGGCUGCAACUGUUUAUUAAAAACACAGCACUGUGCAAACACGAAAGUGGACGUAUACGGUGUGACGCCUGCCCGGUGCCGGAAGGUUAAUUGAUGGGGUUAGCGGCAACGCGAAGCUCUUGAUCGAAGCCCCGGUAAACGGCGGCCGUAACUAUAACGGUCCUAAGGUAGCGAAAUUCCUUGUCGGGUAAGUUCCGACCUGCACGAAUGGCGUAAUGAUGGCCAGGCUGUCUCCACCCGAGACUCAGUGAAAUUGAACUCGCUGUGAAGAUGCAGUGUACCCGCGGCAAGACGGAAAGACCCCGUGAACCUUUACUAUAGCUUGACACUGAACAUUGAGCCUUGAUGUGUAGGAUAGGUGGGAGGCUUUGAAGUGUGGACGCCAGUCUGCAUGGAGCCGACCUUGAAAUACCACCCUUUAAUGUUUGAUGUUCUAACGUUGGCCCGUAAUCCGGGUUGCGGACAGUGUCUGGUGGGUAGUUUGACUGGGGCGGUCUCCUCCUAAAGAGUAACGGAGGAGCACGAAGGUUGGCUAAUCCUGGUCGGACAUCAGGAGGUUAGUGCAAUGGCAUAAGCCAGCUUGACUGCGAGCGUGACGGCGCGAGCAGGUGCGAAAGCAGGUCAUAGUGAUCCGGUGGUUCUGAAUGGAAGGGCCAUCGCUCAACGGAUAAAAGGUACUCCGGGGAUAACAGGCUGAUACCGCCCAAGAGUUCAUAUCGACGGCGGUGUUUGGCACCUCGAUGUCGGCUCAUCACAUCCUGGGGCUGAAGUAGGUCCCAAGGGUAUGGCUGUUCGCCAUUUAAAGUGGUACGCGAGCUGGGUUUAGAACGUCGUGAGACAGUUCGGUCCCUAUCUGCCGUGGGCGCUGGAGAACUGAGGGGGGCUGCUCCUAGUACGAGAGGACCGGAGUGGACGCAUCACUGGUGUUCGGGUUGUCAUGCCAAUGGCACUGCCCGGUAGCUAAAUGCGGAAGAGAUAAGUGCUGAAAGCAUCUAAGCACGAAACUUGCCCCGAGAUGAGUUCUCCCUGACUCCUUGAGAGUCCUGAAGGAACGUUGAAGACGACGACGUUGAUAGGCCGGGUGUGUAAGCGCAGCGAUGCGUUGAGCUAACCGGUACUAAUGAACCGUGAGGCUUAACCUU
RNAcentral lists this ribosomal RNA (2905 nucleotides) under Escherichia coli. RNAcentral describes it as "23S ribosomal RNA". It matches the Rfam family "Bacterial large subunit ribosomal RNA". Lineage: Bacteria; Pseudomonadati; Pseudomonadota; Gammaproteobacteria; Enterobacterales; Enterobacteriaceae. The record is from RNAcentral.